Molecule: ribosomal RNA, 309 nt
Filed under: Triticum aestivum (bread wheat)
Lineage: Eukaryota; Viridiplantae; Streptophyta; Magnoliopsida; Poales; Poaceae
Description: partial small subunit ribosomal RNA
Source: RNAcentral
AUGGCUUUAGUACAUGAUCUUUGGUUGCCAAGUAGUUUGGACACGAUGACAGGGCCAAUUUGGCCAUCUAUUGAGGCCGAAAAUUUUGAGUUGAGGCCUGGACUUAUUGCUCUUGUCUUGCAGACUGCUUCUUCUCCAUCCCCACGCUGCUGCUUCUUCUCCAAGUCCCCUGCUACUUCCUUCUGCUACUUCCUUCUGCUUCAGGAUGACACCCCUUUGCUGAUUCUCUUCUCUGUAUCUCAACCCCCACUGCUUGCUGCCCCUUCUCUCUGCUGCUCGCUGCUAUCUCUUUCCCUCUCUCUUCUCUGA